UAGGGAAGUCUUCCACAAUGGACGCAAGUCUGAUGGAGCAACGCCGCGUGAGUGAAGAAGGGUUUCGGCUCGUAAAGCUCUGUUGUUAAAGAAGAACGUGGGUAAGAGUAACUGUUUACCCAGUGACGGUAUUUAACCAGAAAGCCACGGCUAACUACGUGCCAG
This 165-nucleotide ribosomal RNA is filed under the name uncultured bacterium. Its description in RNAcentral is "partial 16S ribosomal RNA". It matches the Rfam family "Bacterial small subunit ribosomal RNA", at positions 355 to 511 of the family's 1533-position model. The record is from RNAcentral.